AGCUUUGCACAGUGGCAGUAUCAUUGCCCAUGAGGUUUAUCCGAGGCACAAUUAUUGCUAAUUGAAAACUUUUUAUAGUUUGUAGAGGUUUCACUUCAUAGUUGGCUGGCUCCAAGGCAGAGU
RNAcentral lists this small nuclear RNA (123 nucleotides) under Heterocephalus glaber (naked mole-rat). RNAcentral describes it as "U4 spliceosomal RNA (ENSHGLG00100035681.1)". It matches the Rfam family "U4 spliceosomal RNA". Rfam says of the family: U4 small nuclear RNA (U4 snRNA) is a component of the major U2-dependent spliceosome. The structure of U4 snRNA from yeast and human has been reported. The record is from RNAcentral. Lineage: Eukaryota; Metazoa; Chordata; Mammalia; Rodentia; Bathyergidae.